This 29-nucleotide non-coding RNA is filed under the name Rattus norvegicus (Norway rat). The record is from RNAcentral. Lineage: Eukaryota; Metazoa; Chordata; Mammalia; Rodentia; Muridae.
UGUUACGAUGGUAUAGGGAAGAAUGUGAA